UUUUAUUUGAGAGUUUGAUCCUGGCUCAGGAUGAACGCUGGCGGCGUGCCUAACACAUGCAAGUUGAGCGAUUUACUUCGGUAAAGAGCGGCGGACGGGUGAGUAACGCGUGGGUAACCUACCCUGUACACACGGAUAACAUACCGAAAGGUAUGCUAAUACGGGAUAAUAUAUUUGAGAGGCAUCUCUUGAAUAUCAAAGGUGAGCCAGUACAGGAUGGACCCGCGUCUGAUUAGCUAGUUGGUAAGGUAAUGGCUUACCAAGGCGACGAUCAGUAGCCGACCUGAGAGGGUGAUCGGCCACAUUGGAACUGAGACACGGUCCAAACUCCUACGGGAGGCAGCAG
This 346-nucleotide ribosomal RNA is filed under the name Clostridioides difficile. RNAcentral describes it as "bacterial SSU rRNA". It matches the Rfam family "Bacterial small subunit ribosomal RNA", at positions 1 to 354 of the family's 1533-position model. The record is from RNAcentral. Lineage: Bacteria; Bacillati; Bacillota; Clostridia; Peptostreptococcales; Peptostreptococcaceae.